Long non-coding RNA from Mustela lutreola (European mink), 453 nucleotides. RefSeq lists it as uncharacterized. The transcript has 2 exons. NCBI's taxonomy places the organism in Eukaryota, Metazoa, Chordata, Mammalia, Carnivora, Mustelidae. The record is from RefSeq and is a predicted model, not a curated record.
GUACGGUAUCCCUGUCUCUGCUCGCCAGUGGCGCUUACCUAGUGACAACCAGAACGGCUCCAGAGAGGGCCAUGUGACACCGCCCCCCACCAUUGGAACCGCUGUACGUGCUCGCAAAUCUUCGGGCAUGCUGCAAGAGGCGCGGCUUCCUUGCCAUCCCCUUGAGUGACUAAUGGAUAGAACAAAGCCGAAGGGCUGGUGUGUGACCUUGGGGACGAGGCUGUAAAAGGCACUGCAGCUUCCUUGAAGCGAACUGCCACGAUCUUGAGGACACUUUAGUGGCCUCGAGAGGUGCCACCUUGACUGUGGCCUCCGUCAAGCCUUCAAGUGCCCGUAGCCCCUGCGGAUCCUGGCAAACACCCAGAUCCUGAGCUAAGACCACCCUGCUGAGCUGUUCCCAAAUUCCCGAUCCCCUGAAACUGUGAGAUAAUAAAUGUAUGUUGUUUAAAGCUA